GACGAACGCUGGCGGCGUGCUUAACACAUGCAAGUCGAACGGAAAGGCCCUGCUUUUGUGGGGUGCUCGAGUGGCGAACGGGUGAGUAACACGUGAGUAACCUGCCCUUGACUUUGGGAUAACUUCAGGAAACUGGGGCUAAUACCGGAUAGGAGCUCCUGCUGCAUGGUGGGGGUUGGAAAGUUUCGGCGGUUGGGGAUGGACUGGCGGCUUAUCAGCUUGUUGGUGGGGUAGUGGCUUACCAAGGCUUUGACGGGUAGCCGGCCUGAGAGGGUGACCGGCCACAUUGGGACUGAGAGACGGCCCAGAAUCCUACGGGAGGCAGCAGUGGGGAAUAUUGCACAAUGGGCGGAAGCCUGAUGCAGCAACGCCGCGUGCGGGAUGACGGCCUUCGGGUUGUAAACCGCUUUCGCCUGUGACGAAGCGUGAGUGACGGUAAUGGGUAAAGAAGCACCGGCUAACUACGUG
This 468-nucleotide ribosomal RNA is filed under the name uncultured bacterium. Its description in RNAcentral is "partial 16S ribosomal RNA". It matches the Rfam family "Bacterial small subunit ribosomal RNA", at positions 28 to 507 of the family's 1533-position model. The record is from RNAcentral.